UAGGACUGCAGGCACAUACCACCAGGC
This 27-nucleotide unclassified non-coding RNA is filed under the name Mus musculus (house mouse). RNAcentral's name for it is "oocyte_clustered_small_RNA8507". Lineage: Eukaryota; Metazoa; Chordata; Mammalia; Rodentia; Muridae. The record is from RNAcentral.